Molecule: ribosomal RNA, 497 nt
Filed under: uncultured bacterium
Lineage: Bacteria
Description: partial 16S ribosomal RNA
Rfam family: Bacterial small subunit ribosomal RNA
Source: RNAcentral
GAUGAACGCUGGCGGCGUGCCUAAUACAUGCAAGUCGAGCGAACGGACGAGAAGCUUGCUUUUCUGAUGUUAGCGGCGGACGGGUGAGUAACACGUGGGUAACCUACCUAUAAGACUGGGAUAACUUCGGGAAACCGGAGCUAAUACCGGAUAAUAUUUUGAACCGCAUGGUUCAAAAGUGAAAGACGGUCUUGCUGUCACUUAUAGAUGGAUCCGCGCUGCAUUAGCUAGUUGGUAAGGUAACGGCUUACCAAGGCAACGAUGCAUAGCCGACCUGAGGGGGUGAUCGGCCACACUGGAACUGAGACACGGUCCAGACUCCUACGGGAGGCAGCAGUAGGGAAUCUUCCGCAAUGGGCGAAAGCCUGACGGAGCAACGCCGCGUGAGUGAUGAAGGUCUUCGGAUCGUAAAACUCUGUUAUUAGGGAAGAACAUAUGUGUAAGUAACUGUGCACAUCUUGACGGUACCUAAUCAGAAAGCCACGGCUAACUACGUG